RNAcentral lists this long non-coding RNA (214 nucleotides) under Salvia miltiorrhiza (redroot sage). Its description in RNAcentral is "long non-coding RNA (SMIL_LNC003233)". The record is from RNAcentral. Lineage: Eukaryota; Viridiplantae; Streptophyta; Magnoliopsida; Lamiales; Lamiaceae.
CCGGUGUGAACGUUCACACACGUCCGGUGUGAACGUCCGGUGUGAACGGAGGACAGUCAACUCCGGCGGCUUGAAGAUGUCAAGUGUUAUUCUCCCUCUAGGUUUCUUGGUCAACACACAUAAGAUAUAUCUAGAAGAUAUAUUUACAACACUUCCCCUUGAUUGACCAAUCCCUAAAAAAUGUUGCCUCAUUAAAACCUUGCUAGGAAAACCC